UGGCAUUCUAGUUUCUUAUAGUCCCUAGUGGCUGUGGGUGAUGCCAUGCCUGCCAUAAGGCUACGCCAGUUGGUCUAGUGCCUGUGGGCCAAGGCCA
This 97-nucleotide small nucleolar RNA is filed under the name Mesocricetus auratus (golden hamster). Its description in RNAcentral is "Small nucleolar RNA SNORD23 (ENSMAUG00000006684.1)". Lineage: Eukaryota; Metazoa; Chordata; Mammalia; Rodentia; Cricetidae. The record is from RNAcentral.